UAAUGCGUGACCGACCUGCCCCAUACACCGGAAUAGCUCCUGGAAACGGGUGGUAAUGCCGGAUGCUCCGACUCCUCGCAUGGGGUGUCGGGAAAGAUUUCAUCGGUAUGGGAUGGGGUCGCGUCCUAUCAGGUAGUCGGCGGGGUAACGGCCCACCGAGCCUACGACGGGUAGCCGGCCUGAGAGGGCGACCGGCCACA
This 200-nucleotide ribosomal RNA is filed under the name Bifidobacterium catenulatum. RNAcentral describes it as "partial 16S ribosomal RNA". It matches the Rfam family "Bacterial small subunit ribosomal RNA", at positions 111 to 312 of the family's 1533-position model. Lineage: Bacteria; Bacillati; Actinomycetota; Actinomycetes; Bifidobacteriales; Bifidobacteriaceae. The record is from RNAcentral.